RNAcentral lists this long non-coding RNA (207 nucleotides) under Lathyrus oleraceus (garden pea). Its description in RNAcentral is "Pisum sativum (pea) long non-coding RNA (PSAT_LNC030427)". The record is from RNAcentral. Lineage: Eukaryota; Viridiplantae; Streptophyta; Magnoliopsida; Fabales; Fabaceae.
CAUGUUCCAUCAAUUUGAAUAAGUUUACAAAAUACAAAACCUUUAAUGCAUGGUUCAUACGCCCAGAAAAGAGUCGAUGGAAUAUUUUAUUUCCACUAACACAAGUUCUGUCUGGGGUAAAUAUCGACAAUGUCUCCAAAAUUGCAACAGUUCCCGGAGCAUAAUGCAUAAGUGCAACCAAAUAUUUUGGAAGUUCUAUGUACAAAU